This 625-nucleotide ribosomal RNA is filed under the name Cystofilobasidium bisporidii. RNAcentral's name for it is "eukaryotic LSU rRNA". It matches the Rfam family "Eukaryotic large subunit ribosomal RNA", at positions 47 to 663 of the family's 3401-position model. Lineage: Eukaryota; Fungi; Basidiomycota; Tremellomycetes; Cystofilobasidiales; Cystofilobasidiaceae. The record is from RNAcentral.
UAAGCGGAGGAAAAGAAACUAACAAGGAUUCCCCUAGUAACGGCGAGUGAAGCGGGAAGAGCUCAAAUUUAAAAUCUGGGAGUCUACGAUUGUCCGAAUUGUAAUCUCGAGAAGUGUUUUCCGCGUUGGCCUGUGUACAAGUCCCUUGGAACAGGGCGUCAUAGAGGGUGAGAAUCCCGUCCUUGACACAGACACCCAAUGCUUUGUGAUACACUCUCAAUGAGUCGAGUUGUUUGGGAAUGCAGCUCAAAAUGGGUGGUAAAUUCCAUCUAAAGCUAAAUACUGGCGAGAGACCGAUAGCGAACAAGUACCGUGAGGGAAAGAUGAAAAGCACUUUGGAAAGAGAGUCAAACAGUACGUGAAAUUGUUGAAAGGGAAACGAUUGAAGUCAGUCGUGCCUGCCUAGAUUCAGCCUUCUGGUGUAUUUCUAGGUCGGCAGGUCAGCAUCAGUUUGGGGGGGUUAACAAGGGAGUUAGGAAUGUAGCAACCUCGGUUGUGUUAUAGCCUAGCUUCGCAUUGAUCUCGCUGGACUGAGGAACGCAGUGCGCCCGCAAGGUUGGUCUUCGGACACAUUCGCACUUAGGAUGCUGGCAUAAUGGCUUUAAACGACCCGUCUUGAAACACG